CAAUAGCGUAUAUUAAAGUUGUUGCGGUAAAAAAGCUCGUAGUUGGAUUUCUACCGAAGAUAGCCGGUCGGGUCUUCGACCUUGUAUCUGGUUUUGUCUUUGGUAUCCUCAUAGGGAACGUUUCUGCGCUUUAUUGCGUGGUGCGGUAUCUAUGACUUUUACUUUGAGGAAAUUAGAGUGUUCACGGCAGGCAAACGCCUUGAAUAUAUUAGCAUGGAAUAAUAACGUAGGAUCUUCGUCCUAUUUUGUUGGUUUCUAGGGCUAAGAUAAUGAUUAAUAGGGAUAAUUGGGGGCAUCUGUAUCAACGCGUCAGAGGUGGAAUUCAUGGAUUGCGUUGCGACAAACUACUGCGAAAGCAUUUGCCAAGGAUGUUUUCAUUGA
RNAcentral lists this ribosomal RNA (381 nucleotides) under uncultured eukaryote. RNAcentral describes it as "partial 18S ribosomal RNA". It matches the Rfam family "Eukaryotic small subunit ribosomal RNA", at positions 592 to 976 of the family's 1831-position model. The record is from RNAcentral.